UCUACUGCCAAACCCUGGCGGUUCUGGGUAUGGUUUUAUUAAGUAAGGUACUACUGUGUGCCUUAGAAAAUACCCAUAAGAUAAAUAAUAAGAACCAUAAUAAUGAUAGCUAAAAUUUUUUUUUUUUUUUUUUAGCAGUGGGUAGCAAAGCAAAGUUUAUUGAGUGAUAGAACUGACAUAUAUUACAAACCUCCCAAGAGAGAGGGGCCCCAACAAAGUUGCCCUAAAUAAUUUCUAUGAAGCUUGGCACUUUACAAGCAUCAAUUUAAUUAAUCCUCACAACAACUUAAAGUGAUAUAUCAUAAUCCUCUCUACCUUAUAGAUAAGAAAACUGGGGCUAAGGAUAACUUGCCCAUGGUCAAAGAGUUCUAGGGCUUCUUCAUUGACGUUGGUGUUGUUUGUCAUUUGAACAGGUAACAGCCAAGGAGUAAGCAUCUGAGCCCAAGAUACAGGUCUUGCUUUAUGUAAGAUGUGUCUCUUAGAGCCACAGCCUGGACACACGAGGACAGACACCACAGCCCAUACCCACUCUGACAGAACCCUGGCCUGCAUGCUAGCAUCUAAGGAGAGCCAUCACAGUGGGCACUGGGAGUAUUUUCGGAGGCUGUUUUUACUCUGGGACAGCCAGCAAAAACUUGACUAUACACCACAAUUGACUGCAAACCAUGUAAGUAUAUCCCAC
Molecule: long non-coding RNA, 682 nt
Filed under: Mustela putorius furo (domestic ferret)
Lineage: Eukaryota; Metazoa; Chordata; Mammalia; Carnivora; Mustelidae
Description: lncRNA (ENSMPUG00000030332.1)
Source: RNAcentral